Molecule: ribosomal RNA, 497 nt
Filed under: uncultured bacterium
Lineage: Bacteria
Description: partial 16S ribosomal RNA
Rfam family: Bacterial small subunit ribosomal RNA
Source: RNAcentral
GAUGAACGCUGGCGGCGUGCCUAAUACAUGCAAGUCGAGCGAACGGACGAGAAGCUUGCUUCUCUGAUGUUAGCGGCGGACGGGUGAGUAACACGUGGAUAACCUACCUAUAAGACUGGGAUAACUUCGGGAAACCGUAGCUAAUACCGGAUAAUAUUUUGAACCGCAUGGUUCAAAAGUGAAAGACGAUCUUGCUGUCACUUAUAGAUGGAUCCGCGCUGCAUUAGCUAGUUGGUAAGGUAACGGCUUACCAAGGCAACGAUGCAUAGCCGACCUGAGGGGGUGAUCGGCCACACUGGAACUGAGCCACGGUCCAGACUCCUACGGGAGGCAGCAGUAGGGAAUCUUCCGCAAUGGGCGAAAGCCUGACGGAGCAACGCCGCGUGAGUGAUGAAGGUCUUCGGAUCGUAAAACUCUGUUAUUAGGGAAGAACAUAUGUGUAAGUAACUGUGCACAUCUUGACGGUACCUAAUCAGAAAGCCACGGCUAACUACGUG